This 87-nucleotide transfer RNA is filed under the name Candidatus Rokuibacteriota bacterium. Its description in RNAcentral is "Candidatus Rokubacteria bacterium tRNA-Leu". It matches the Rfam family "tRNA". Rfam says of the family: Transfer RNA (tRNA) molecules are approximately 80 nucleotides in length. The record is from RNAcentral. RNAcentral also lists the same sequence under 1 other name. Lineage: Bacteria; Candidatus Rokuibacteriota.
GCCGGUGUGGUGAAACUGGCAUACACGCUGGACUCAAAAUCCAGUGCCCGCAAGGGCGUAGGGGUUCGACUCCCCUCACCGGCACCA